UACGUACUGUGCGAACGUUAUUCGGAAUCACUGGGCUUAAAGGGUGUGUAGGCGGCCGGCUAAGUAGGGUGUGAAAGGCCUCGGCCUAACCGAGGCAUUGCGCUCUAAACUGACCGGCUUGAGUGAGAUAGGGGUGUGCGGAACUUCCAGUGGAGCGGUGAAAUGUGUUGAUAUUGGAAGGAACGCCGGUGGCGAAAGCGGCACACUGGGUCUCGUCUGACGCUGAGACACGAAAGCCAGGGGAGCGAACGGG
This 253-nucleotide ribosomal RNA is filed under the name uncultured bacterium. Its description in RNAcentral is "partial 16S ribosomal RNA". It matches the Rfam family "Bacterial small subunit ribosomal RNA", at positions 524 to 776 of the family's 1533-position model. The record is from RNAcentral.